AAUUCGAUUGAGUUUGAUCAUGGCUCAGAAUCAACGCUGGCGGCGUGCCUCAGACAUGCAAGUCGAACGCGAAAGUCCCCUUCGGGGGACAAGUAGAGUGGCGCACGGGUGAGUAACACGUAGGUAAUCUACCUUCGGAUGGGGAAUAACAAUCGGAAACGAUUGCUAAUACCGCAUAAUGCAGCGGCACCUAAUGGUGACAGUUGUUAAAGCGGGGGAUCGAAAGACCUCGCGUCUGAAGAGGAGCCUGCGGCGGAUUAGCUAGUUGGUAAGGUAAUGGCUUACCAAGGCAACGAUCCGUAACCGGCCUGAGAGGGCGGUCGGUCACACUGACACUGACAUACGGGUCAGACUCCUACGGGAGGCAGCAGUCGGGAAUUUUGGGCAAUGGGCGAAAGCCUGACCCAGCAACGCCGCGUGAAGGAUGAAAUCCCUCGGGAUGUAAACUUCGCAAGAACGGGAAGAAUAAGUAGGGGACAAUACCCCCUAUGAUGACGGUACCGUUUGUAAGCUCCGGCUAACUCCGUGCCAGCAGCCGCGGUAAUACGGGGGGAGCAAGCGUUGUUCGGAUUUACUGGGCGUAAAGGGCGCGUAGGCGGCCAGCACAAGUCAGUUGUGAAAUCUCCGAGCUUAACUCGGAAAGGUCAACUGAUACUGUGCGGCUAGAGUG
Molecule: ribosomal RNA, 670 nt
Filed under: uncultured bacterium
Lineage: Bacteria
Description: bacterial SSU rRNA
Rfam family: Bacterial small subunit ribosomal RNA
Source: RNAcentral